UACGUAGGGACCGAGCGUUGUCCGGAAUCAUUGGGCGUAAAGAGCGUGUAGGCGGCCAACUAAGUCCUGCGUGAAAUCUCGGGGCUCAACCCCGAGCGGUCGUGGGAAACUGGUUGGCUAGAGUGCGGGAGAGGAGAGUGGAGUUCCUGGUGUAGCGGUGAAAUGCGCAGAUAUCAGGAAGAACACCCGUGGCGAAGGCGGCUCUCUGGAACGCAACUGACGCUGAGACGCGAAAGCGUGGGGAGCAAACAGG
RNAcentral lists this ribosomal RNA (253 nucleotides) under uncultured bacterium. RNAcentral's name for it is "partial 16S ribosomal RNA". It matches the Rfam family "Bacterial small subunit ribosomal RNA", at positions 524 to 776 of the family's 1533-position model. The record is from RNAcentral.